RNAcentral lists this microRNA precursor (70 nucleotides) under Microtus ochrogaster (prairie vole). RNAcentral's name for it is "miRNA (ENSMOCG00000006878.1)". Lineage: Eukaryota; Metazoa; Chordata; Mammalia; Rodentia; Cricetidae. The record is from RNAcentral.
GCUUCCGGAGGAUGGAGGUAGAGAGUGAGCAUCUUCCUCCAGCUUCUGACCCCUGUCCUCUGCCCCACAG